Molecule: ribosomal RNA, 393 nt
Filed under: Triticum aestivum (bread wheat)
Lineage: Eukaryota; Viridiplantae; Streptophyta; Magnoliopsida; Poales; Poaceae
Description: partial small subunit ribosomal RNA
Source: RNAcentral
AUGCUCCCUGUGGCAGCAGACAUUGACCGGGAAUUUCCUUGCCCGACCACCCGGCAUGGCCGGCGAGCGGAACGGCGGGGCGCUGUGGAGAAUCUUGCCGACGGAAGGCGCGUCCGCGCGCAAGCUCCAACCGGACAUCUCGUCACUCCAGGGAAGAAACUCGAUCCGGCGAUUGGAAGGAAGAUCUGCGACGCGACGCGGCCAUGCAGCCAUUUUCUCCCUCCCUAUCAUCAUGCCGCUUCCACCGCCGCCGGACUAGGUGCCGCUCUCGGAGGAGGGGCGGAUGGUGGACGAGGAACAAGUGGAGGAGAAGGGUGUCCUCAUCGCCGAGGAGGAGGAGAAGGAGGACAGCCGUUAUGUGCUGGAGGCCGUGCAGGAAGAUCCUGCCCCUAA